RNAcentral lists this ribosomal RNA (506 nucleotides) under uncultured Scutellospora. Its description in RNAcentral is "SSU rRNA". It matches the Rfam family "Eukaryotic small subunit ribosomal RNA", at positions 569 to 1078 of the family's 1831-position model. Lineage: Eukaryota; Fungi; Glomeromycota; Glomeromycetes; Diversisporales; Gigasporaceae. The record is from RNAcentral.
AGCAGCCGCGGUAAUUCCAGCUCCAAUAGCGUAUAUUAAAGUUGUUGCAGUUAAAAAGCUCGUAGUUGAAUUUCGGGGUUUUACCGUUGGUCGGGCUAUCCAGUCUGUACUAGCGUGUAGAAUUCCUACCUUCUGGGGAACCAUCAUGUUAUUAAUUUAGCGUGGUGGGAAACCAGGACCUUUACCUUGAAAAAAUUAGAGUGUUCAAAGCAGGCUUACGUCUGAAUACAUUAGCAUGGAAUAAUAGAAUAGGACGGUGGUCCUGUUUUGUUGGUUUCUGAAUCACCGUAAUGAUUAAUAGGGAUAGUUGGGGGCAUUAGUAUUCAAUUGUCAGAGGUGAAAUUCUUGGAUUUAUUGAAGACUAACUUCUGCGAAAGCAUUUGCCAAGGAUGUUUUCAUUAAUCAAGAACGAAAGUUAGGGGAUCGAAGACGAUCAGAUACCGUCGUAGUCUUAACCAUAAACUAUGCCGACUAGGGAUCGGACGAUGUUAAAUAUUAUUGACUCG